ACCGGCCGCGCGGGAGAGCGCGGGGGCAACCCCGCCACCGAAGGAGCAACCGCCCCGGAAACUCUCAGGUCAAGCGGACCGCGCGGGCUGG
RNAcentral lists this non-coding RNA (91 nucleotides) under Sphingopyxis sp. Its description in RNAcentral is "Glycine sequence". It matches the Rfam family "Glycine riboswitch aptamer". From Rfam's summary of the family: This family represents the bacterial glycine riboswitch. Glycine riboswitches usually consist of two metabolite-binding aptamers domains with similar structures in tandem. Lineage: Bacteria; Pseudomonadati; Pseudomonadota; Alphaproteobacteria; Sphingomonadales; Sphingopyxidaceae. The record is from RNAcentral.